RNAcentral lists this unclassified non-coding RNA (422 nucleotides) under uncultured Sebacina. RNAcentral's name for it is "sequence contains ITS2". The stretch from base 1 to 154 matches the Rfam family "5.8S ribosomal RNA". The record is from RNAcentral. Lineage: Eukaryota; Fungi; Basidiomycota; Agaricomycetes; Sebacinales; Sebacinaceae.
AACUUUUAGCAACGGAUCACUUGGCUCUCGCAUCGAUGAAGAAAGCAGCGAAAUGCGAUAAGUAAUGUGAAUUGCAGAAUUCAGUGAAUCAUCGAAUCUUUGAACGCACCUUGCACCCUUUGGAAUUCCAAAGGGUAUGCUCGUUUGAGUGUCAUUGUACUCUCACACUCUCCGAUCCUCUGGAUUUGGGGAGCGGUGGACUUGGGUGCUUGCUGCUUUCCUUGCGGCUCACCUCAAAUGCGUCAGUGCAUCUCUUGAUUGGACACAGUACGGCGUGAUAAGUGUCUUCGCCGGCACCUCAUAAGAGGGUGGCUGAUCGGGAGCUCUGUGCUUUUAAACCGUCUUCUGACACUCUCUGACAACUUGACCUCAAAUCGAGUAGGAUUACCCGCUGAACUUAAGCAUAUCAAUAAGCGGAGGCU